RNAcentral lists this ribosomal RNA (253 nucleotides) under uncultured bacterium. RNAcentral's name for it is "partial 16S ribosomal RNA". It matches the Rfam family "Bacterial small subunit ribosomal RNA", at positions 524 to 776 of the family's 1533-position model. The record is from RNAcentral.
UGCGUAGGGCGCAAGCGUUAUCCGGAAUUAUUGGGCGUAAAGAGCUCGUAGGCGGUUUGUCGCGUCUGCCGUGAAAGUCCGGGGCUCAACUCCGGAUCUGCGGUGGGUACGGGCAGACUAGAGUGAUGUAGGGGAGACUGGAAUUCCUGGUGUAGCGGUGAAAUGCGCAGAUAUCAGGAGGAACACCGAUGGCGAAGGCAGGUCUCUGGGCAUUAACUGACGCUGAGGAGCGAAAGCAUGGGGAGCGAGCAGG